This 305-nucleotide ribosomal RNA is filed under the name uncultured bacterium. RNAcentral describes it as "bacterial SSU rRNA". It matches the Rfam family "Bacterial small subunit ribosomal RNA", at positions 336 to 638 of the family's 1533-position model. The record is from RNAcentral.
UUCCUACGGGGGGCAGCAGUGAGGAAUAUUGGUCAAUGGGCGCGAGCCUGAACCAGCCAAGUCGCGUGAGGGAUGACGGUCCUACGGAUUGUAAACCUCUUUUGCCGGGGAGCAAGCGUGCGUUCGUGAACGCGCGUCGAGAGUACCCGGAGAAAAAGCAUCGGCUAACUCCGUGCCAGCAGCCGCGGUAAUACGGAGGAUGCGAGCGUUAUCCGGAUUUAUUGGGUUUAAAGGGUGCGCAGGCGGAGGUGCAAGUCAGCGGUCAAAUUGCGGGGCUCAACCCCGUACUGCCGUUGAAACUGCAU